This 1879-nucleotide ribosomal RNA is filed under the name Neotyphlini sp. VG-2008. Its description in RNAcentral is "SSU rRNA". It matches the Rfam family "Eukaryotic small subunit ribosomal RNA". The record is from RNAcentral. Lineage: Eukaryota; Metazoa; Arthropoda; Insecta; Coleoptera; Staphylinidae.
CAGUAGUCAUAUGCUCGUCUCAAAGAUUAAGCCAUGCAAGUCUUAGUACAAGCUCAAUUAAAGUGAAACCGCGAAAAGCUCAUUAAAUCAGUUAUGGUUCAUUAGAUCAUACCCACAAUUACUUGGAUAACUGUGGUAAUUCUAGAGCUAAUACAUGCUUACAGAGCUCCGACCUUUACGGGGAGGAGCGCUUUUAUUAGAUCAAAACCAAUCGGUGGCGAGUUCGCUCGUCAUCGUAAACUUUAUUGACUCUUAAUAACUUUAUGCUGAUCGCACGGUCUAGUACCGGCGACGCAUCUUUCAAAUGUCUGCCUUAUCAACUGUCGAUGGUAGGUUCUACGCCUACCAUGGUUGUAACGGGUAACGGGGAAUCAGGGUUCGAUUCCGGAGAGGGAGCCUGAGAAACGGCUACCACAUCCAAGGAAGGCAGCAGGCACGCAAAUUACCCAAUCCCAGCUCGGGGAGGUAGUGACGAAAAAUAACGAUACGGGACUCAUCCGAGGCCCCGUAAUCGGAAUGAAUUGAAUUUAGAUACCUUUUUAAGGAUCAAUUGGAGGGUAAGUCUGGUGCCAGCAGCCGCGGUAAUUCCAGCUCCAAUAGCGUAUAUUAAAGUUGUUGCGGUUAAAAAGCUCGUAGUCGCAACUGUGUGCCGCUCCGUUGGUUCACCGCUCGCGGUGUAACUGACGGGCAAGUGGGACGUCAUGUCGGUGGACUUAGCUCGCAAGGGCGGUUCAAAUGAAACCUGUAGCGGUGCUCUUAACUGAGUGUCGAUGUGGGCCGACACAUUUACUUUGAACAAAUUAGAGUGCUCAAAGCAGGCUAAAUUAAUGCCUAAAUACAAGUGCAUGGAAUAAUAGAAUAGGAUCUCGGUUCUAUUUUGUUGGUUCUCUGAACACUGAGAUAAUGAUGAAUAGGGACGGAUGGGGGCAUUCGUAUUGAGACGUUAGAGGUGAAAUUCUUGGAUCGUCUCAAGACGGACUGAAGCGAAAGCGUUUGCCAAAAACGUUUUCAUUGAUCAAGAACGAAAGUUAGAGGUUCGAAGGCGAUCAGAUACCGCCCUAGUUCUAACCAUAAACUAUGCCAGCCAGCGAUCCGCCCACGUUCCUCCGAUGACUGGGCGGGGAGCUUCCGGGAAACCAAAGCUUUUGGGUUCCGGGGGAAGUAUGGUUGCAAAGCUGAAACUUAAAGGAAUUGACGGAAGGGCACCACAAGAAGUGGAGCCUGCGGUUUAAUUUGACUCAACACGGGAAAACUCACCAGGCCCGGACACUAAUAUGAUUGACAGAUUAAUAGCUCUCUCUUGAUUAAGUGGUUGGUGGUGCAUGGCCGUUCUUAGUUGGUGGAUUGAUUUGUCAGCUUAAUUGCGUUAACGAACGAGACUCUGACCUAUUAAAUAGGCGCAUAAACGACAUUAUAGAGGUCCGGCCAUUUCCCUUCUCACGAAGGUGAUUUGGUGCGGGAUUUUAACUGUCGGCGUUAUAUUAAUUCUUCUUAGAGGGACAAGUGGCGCUUAGUCGCAUGAGAAUGAGCAAUAACAGGUCAGUAAUGCCCUUAGAUGUCCUGGGCCGCACGCGCGCUACACUGAAGGAUACAGCGUGUAUCCCUGGCCGAAAGGCUCGGGUAACCCGUUGAAACUCCUUCGUGUUAGGGAUUGUGGUUUGUAAUUAUGCCACAUGAACGAGGAAUUUCCAGUAAUCGCAAGUCAUUAGCUUGCGUUGAUUAAGUCCCUGCCCUUUGUACACACCGCCCGUCGCUACUACCGAUUGAAUGACUUAGUGAGGUCUUCGGACUGGUGCGCGAUGACGUUUCGUACGUUGUCGAUGUUGCUGGGAAGAUGACCAAACUUGAUCAUUUAGAGGAAGUAAAAGUCGUAACAAGG